ACACACACACACACGAGGUAUCUCCAACUGCAUGCAAGAACAACCUGGAGAGACUUUGAUAGUUCAGGUCAGCAUAAUACCUGCAGCUGCCACUCGCCUUUCCUAUAUCU
This is a small nucleolar RNA of Pipistrellus kuhlii (Kuhl's pipistrelle), 110 nucleotides long. RefSeq annotates it as small nucleolar RNA SNORA44. The transcript has a single exon. The record is from RefSeq and is a predicted model, not a curated record. Lineage: Eukaryota; Metazoa; Chordata; Mammalia; Chiroptera; Vespertilionidae.